AACAAGCCUAGAGGAGCAAUCUACUUCUAUCUAACCCAAAUAAAUCUCAACGGUCUCCUUUAGCUUUGGUUCCACCGUCAUCACCUCCUGCGAAAUACUCACAGCAACGCCUACACAGAGCCGCCAGAACCCCCUGCAUCACCAUCUACACCAGCAGCCAAACGCAUUCAUACACCCCCGAUGAGAUGUUUUAUGUAGAAAAGCAUGUACAGCCAAGAAAGAGGAGUAUAGAAAAAGAUGUUGGUGAAGGAAUUGGGUGAUUCCACCUUCAAUCUUCCAGAGGAGGUACUGCAAGUUCUACGUUUCGAUCCAUUUGACCAAUUCGACGUAGCCUGCAAAAUCACUUCCAUUGCUCUCUCAACACGUAUCUCCUCUCUUGAAUCUAAGUCCUCCACUCUACGCUCUCAAAUUGUCGAGAAAGAUGAGCUCAUUGCUGGCCUUGUAAAGAUCCCCACCUGCUUUCUCCUUUUUCUUUAUUCUCG
RNAcentral lists this unclassified non-coding RNA (482 nucleotides) under Hevea brasiliensis (rubber tree). Lineage: Eukaryota; Viridiplantae; Streptophyta; Magnoliopsida; Malpighiales; Euphorbiaceae. The record is from RNAcentral.